Nerophis lumbriciformis (worm pipefish) is the source of this 633-nucleotide long non-coding RNA. RefSeq lists it as uncharacterized. NCBI's taxonomy places the organism in Eukaryota, Metazoa, Chordata, Actinopteri, Syngnathiformes, Syngnathidae. The record is from RefSeq and is a predicted model, not a curated record.
UUAGUGUGGAACACAUGAUAAAUCUGUUUUCAUCAAAAUAGCAAAGAGGUAAGAGACAAUAAAAAAAGGACCAGGAAGCACGGAAAUGGAAUUGAGUGGAGAAAAGAGGCCUGAUAGUUGAGUAGGAGCCUGCGAUAAGGCGGAAAAUAUGCUGCUGAGGAGGCUUAUCAGCAGGCAAAGGCAGCCAAGGUUGUUGCCUCAAUAAAAUGGAGGAAGUGCGGAGAUCGGAAAGGUUUUUUCAAGGAAGAAGAAUACGAACAUGGAGUUGCACCAGGGAAGAGGAUUCAUAUCGAAAAUGUCACUUGUUAAGGGGAGGUUGCCUGGGAGACAUCACACACAAACUGUUUUUAUUUUGAAGACCCACUUAAUUUACUGUAAUAUCAAAAUGUAUAUAUUGUGGUUGUAAAUUAAACCACACAUACUCCUUUUAAUUCCCGAUUUAUUUUAAUGUAUCAGUUGUUGUUGCCUGGUGUUGAUUGAAUGAAGAAAAAAAAAGAAAUGGAAAAAAUAUUUUUAUUAUGUUAAAUUUAUUAAAAUGUUUAUUUAAAUGUUUACUAAAGGGAUUUUGUACUUUAUAAUUGGUUAACAUGGUGUAAAGCAAUAAUUUACAAAAAAAAAUUAUUAAAAAAAGAU